CCUUCAUGUCAUUUUUUGGGCCUUUCCGUGUUUUUUGCUUUAUUACGGGGCACAAAUUAUAUGUUCGGCCAUUGUUUUCGAAUAUUUUUGCAUGUAUCAAAACUCUUAUAAGCAAGAUAGGGUAUUCCUACAUAGCUGGUGGGACCUACCGCAAAUGGAUCAUAAAGUCUUCAAAAAAGAAUAUAUAUAAUUGCAUUACAUGUAGUAACAGCUACGAUCAUACCAGCACUAAUGAACCGGAUCCCAUCAGAACUCUACAGUUAAGCGUGCUUGGGCGAGAGUUGUACUAGGAUGAGUGAGCUCCAGGAAAGUCCUCGUGUUGCAUCCCUCUUUUUUUCGGUUUUUCUCUUUUUUUUGUUAAAAAUAUUUGACUCAAUAACUUAUACACGG
Molecule: ribosomal RNA, 390 nt
Filed under: Arabidopsis thaliana (thale cress)
Lineage: Eukaryota; Viridiplantae; Streptophyta; Magnoliopsida; Brassicales; Brassicaceae
Source: RNAcentral